AGAUCACGAAUCUCUGUAUCCUCAGGGUGAGAUGGCAUGGAAAGCCCUAUCAGUGGUUGCCACUGGUUCCUCUGAAGUGAAGUUAUGGCUGCGGGAAGGGAAGGAGAAGAGAUAACCGCGGAGUUGUGAAUUGAUGAGACAACAAUUAGCAACCCUUCCAGAGAGCUAUCCAAGCCAACGUACAAACUAACCUAAUGAACAUAUAUUAAUAUAUAUUACAAUACUGAUCAAGUGUGUGUGUGUGUGUGUAUACUCAGCAUGAUAUAUAAUAUUAAACUUGAAUUAGAGAUCUAAAGUUUUACCUAUCAUCGUACCUAUGGAAUUCUCCAAGAUUUCAGUCCAGUUAUUACUUUGUGAGCCACCCAGAGAACAAUUUGUUAUGGAGUGACCAACAAAUUAAGUAGUAUUUAUUUGGUUUGUUUAUUUAUUUGUUUAUUUAAUAUUUAUAACUUCUGACCAGAGCACUAGGACAGGAAACUUCUUACAAUAAAUGAUUUA
This is a long non-coding RNA of Hemicordylus capensis (graceful crag lizard), 498 nucleotides long. RefSeq lists it as uncharacterized. The record is from RefSeq and is a predicted model, not a curated record. NCBI's taxonomy places the organism in Eukaryota, Metazoa, Chordata, Lepidosauria, Squamata, Cordylidae. The transcript is spliced from 3 exons.